Molecule: ribosomal RNA, 400 nt
Filed under: uncultured bacterium
Lineage: Bacteria
Description: bacterial SSU rRNA
Rfam family: Bacterial small subunit ribosomal RNA
Source: RNAcentral
UAGGGAAUAUUGGGCAAUGGAGGCAACUCUGACCCAGCCAUGCCGCGUGCCGGACGAAGGCGCUCAGCGUUGUAAACGGCUUUUAUCAACGAAGAACGAGCAGGAUGCGUCCUGCUGUGACGGUAGUUGAGGAAUCAGCACCGGCUAACUCCGUGCCAGCAGCCGCGGUAAUACGGAGGGUGCAAGCGUUGUCCGGAUUUAUUGGGUUUAAAGGGUGCGUAGGUGGGUCUUUAAGUCUGGCUUGAAAGUGGGCUGCUUAACAGUCCAAGGUGGUUGGAAACUGGAGGUCUUGAAUGGGUUGGCGGUAGCCGGAACGGGUCAUGUAGCGGUGAAAUGCAUAGAUAUGACCCAGAACCCCGAUUGCGAAGGCAGGCUACUACGACUUGAUUGACACUGAGGC